This is a non-coding RNA of Collybiopsis luxurians FD-317 M1, 95 nucleotides long. The record is from the annotation of a GenBank genome assembly. NCBI's taxonomy places the organism in Eukaryota, Fungi, Basidiomycota, Agaricomycetes, Agaricales, Omphalotaceae.
GGUUCGGUGGUGUAGGGGUUAUCACGUCUGUCUUACAUGCUUUUGGAAUUGCAUUGUAUCACAGGAGGUCCCCGGUUCGAGACCGGGUCGAACCA